RNAcentral lists this transfer RNA (69 nucleotides) under Trichobilharzia regenti. RNAcentral's name for it is "tRNA-His". The record is from RNAcentral. Lineage: Eukaryota; Metazoa; Platyhelminthes; Trematoda; Strigeidida; Schistosomatidae.
GUUCUUAGGGGUUGAGAGUGUAGACUGUUAGCUUGUGGUGCUGGAGGUUCAUGUAAUUUGAUAAGGACA